Hypomesus transpacificus is the source of this 161-nucleotide long non-coding RNA. RefSeq lists it as uncharacterized. The record is from RefSeq and is a predicted model, not a curated record. The transcript is spliced from 3 exons. Lineage: Eukaryota; Metazoa; Chordata; Actinopteri; Osmeriformes; Osmeridae.
CAAAUGCCCCACCACCCCCAUGUCUAAGGGUUCUCUUUCAGGGCUCCAAUCCCAGACAGCUUCUGUCCCAGCUGUUAGGAAGGAGCUGAGAGCUGCAGGCUGCCUACCAGAGUACGAGAGGGAAGUCCUCUGUAAAUUGUCUGCAAUCCGUAAAAAGCUGC